Molecule: ribosomal RNA, 497 nt
Filed under: uncultured bacterium
Lineage: Bacteria
Description: partial 16S ribosomal RNA
Rfam family: Bacterial small subunit ribosomal RNA
Source: RNAcentral
GACGAACGCUGGCGGCGUGCCUAAUACAUGCAAGUUGAGCGCUGAAGGUUGGUACUUGUACCAACUGGAUGAGCAGCGCACGGGUGAGUAACGCGUGGGGAAUCUGCCUUUGAGCGGGGGACAACAUUUGGAAACGAAUGCUAAUACCGCAUAAAAACUUUAAACACAAGUUUUAAGUUUGAAAGAUGCAAUUGCAUCACUCAAAGAUGAUCCCGCGUUGUAUUAGCUAGUUGGUGAGGUAAAGGCUCACCAAGGCGAUGAUACAUAGCCGACCUGAGAGGGUGAUCGGCCACAUUGGGACUGAGACACGGCCCAAACUCCUACGGGAGGCAGCAGUAGGGAAUCUUCGGCAAGAGACGAAAGUCUGACCGAGCAACGCCGCGUGAGUGAAGAAGGUUUUCGGAUCGUAAAAAUCUGUUGGUAGAGAAGAACGUUGGUGAGAGUGGAAAGCUCAUCAAGUGACGGUAACUACCCAGAAAGGGACGGCUAACUACGUG